AGUGGAAUAGCUGGAUCAAAUGGUGGUUCCAUUUCCAUCUUUCCAAGGAAUCUCCAUACUGCUUUCCAAAUUGGCUGCACCAAUUUGCAGUCCCACCAGCAAU
This 103-nucleotide microRNA precursor is filed under the name Marmota monax (woodchuck). The record is from RNAcentral. Lineage: Eukaryota; Metazoa; Chordata; Mammalia; Rodentia; Sciuridae.